AGUGAACGCUGGCGGUAGGCCUAACACAUGCAAGUCGAACGGCAGCACAGUAAGAGCUUGCUCUUACGGGUGGCGAGUGGCGGACGGGUGAGGAAUACAUCGGAAUCUACUUUUUCGUGGGGGAUAACGUAGGAAAACUUACGCUAAUACCGAAUACGACCUACGGGUGAAAGCAGGGGUUCUUGGGACCUUGCGCGAUUGAUUGAGCCGAUGUCGGAUUAGCUAGUUGGCGGGGUAAAGGCCCACCAAGGCGACGAUCCGUAGCUGGUCUGAGAGGAUGAUCAGCCACACUGGAACUGAGACACGGUCCAGACUCCUACGGGAGGCAGCAGUGGGGAAUAUUGGACAAUGGGCGCAAGCCUGAUCCAGCCAUACCGCGUGGGUGAAGAAGGCCUUCGGGUUGUAAAGCCCUUUUGUUGGGAAAGAAAAGCAGCAGGUUAAUACCCCGCUGUUCUGACGGUACCCAAAGAAUAAGCACCGGCUAACUUCGUG
Molecule: ribosomal RNA, 492 nt
Filed under: uncultured bacterium
Lineage: Bacteria
Description: partial 16S ribosomal RNA
Rfam family: Bacterial small subunit ribosomal RNA
Source: RNAcentral